CAGUCGCCGCGGGAAUACAGAGGGUGCGAGCGUUAAUCGGAUUUACUGGGCGUAAAGCGUGCGUAGGCGGCUUUUUAAGUCGGAUGUGAAAUCCCUGAGCUUAACUUAGGAAUUGCAUUCGAUACUGGGAAGCUAGAGUGUGGGAGAGGAUGGUAGAAUUCCAGGUGUAGCGGUGAAAUGCGUAGAGAUCUGGAGGAAUACCGAUGGCGAAGGCAGCCAUCUGGCCUAACACUGACGCUGAGGUACGAAAGCAUGGGGAGCAAACAGGAUUAGAUACCCGAGUAGUCCCUGUCUCUUAUAC
Molecule: ribosomal RNA, 301 nt
Filed under: uncultured bacterium
Lineage: Bacteria
Description: partial 16S ribosomal RNA
Rfam family: Bacterial small subunit ribosomal RNA
Source: RNAcentral